This 169-nucleotide ribosomal RNA is filed under the name uncultured bacterium. Its description in RNAcentral is "partial 16S ribosomal RNA". It matches the Rfam family "Bacterial small subunit ribosomal RNA", at positions 338 to 524 of the family's 1533-position model. The record is from RNAcentral.
CCUACGGGAGGCAGCAGUAGGGAAUCUUCCGCAAUGGACGAAAGUCUGACGCAGCAACGCCGCGUGAGUGAUGAAGGCCUUCGGGUUGUAAAGCUCUGUCUUCUGGGACGAUAAUGACGGUACCAGAGGAGGAAGCCACGGCUAACUACGUGCCAGCAGCCGCGGUAAU